RNAcentral lists this ribosomal RNA (254 nucleotides) under uncultured bacterium. Its description in RNAcentral is "partial 16S ribosomal RNA". It matches the Rfam family "Bacterial small subunit ribosomal RNA", at positions 524 to 776 of the family's 1533-position model. The record is from RNAcentral.
UACGGGGGGCGCAAGCGUUGUUCGGAUUUACUGGGCGUAAAGGGCGCGUAGGCGGUCGUGACAAGUCACUUGUGAAAUCUCCGGGCUUAACUCGGAACGGUCAAGUGAUACUGUCGGACUAGAGUACAGAAGGGGCAACUGGAAUUCUCGGUGUAGCGGUGAAAUGCGUAGAUAUCGAGAGGAACACCUGCGGCGAAGGCGGGUUGCUGGGCUGAUACUGACGCUGAGGCGCGAAAGCCAGGGGAGCGAACGGG